Molecule: ribosomal RNA, 395 nt
Filed under: uncultured bacterium
Lineage: Bacteria
Description: bacterial SSU rRNA
Rfam family: Bacterial small subunit ribosomal RNA
Source: RNAcentral
GUGUCAGCAGCCGCGGUAAUACGGAGGGUGCAAGCGUUGUUCGGAAUUACUGGGCGUAAAGCGCGUGUAGGUGGUCGAGUAAGUCGAAUGUGAAAGCCCCGGGCUCAACCCGGGAAGUGCAUCCGAAACUGCUCGACUAGAGUCCCGGAGAGGAAGGCAGAAUUCCCAAUGUAGGGGUGAAAUCCGUAGAUAUUGGGAGGAAUACCGGUGGCGAAGGCGGCCUUCUGGACGGUGACUGACACUCAGACGCGAAAGCGUGGGGAGCAAACAGGAUUAGAUACCCUGGUAGUCCACGCUGUAAACGUUGCGAACUAGGUGUCGGGGGUAUUCACCCCUCCGGUGCCGAAGCUAACGUCUUAAGUUCGCCGCCUGGGAAGUACGGCCGCAAGGCUAAA